UGGCCCCGGACGGGCAGCGAGGGGCCGCGCGCAGGGACCGGCCCCGGGCACCCCCUGGUCCCCCGAGCGGAUUUCCACGCGGAGAGGAUGUUGGCAGCCCCGGCGACCUGCCGAGACACAGCGGGAUCCACCUUCCAACUCCUGUCUUACCUCGGAUUUCGGUGCUGUCAGUCUGAAAAACAGACGUCCAUUUGGUACUCUAGAUGGACUGUCCUUCCCUGACCUAAAGCUGGGCCAUUUGGAGAUUUGGAGAACAAAGGUUGUUGGCUGUGAUUGUAGCAGAGUCCUGAGCUCCUGUGGAGAUUUGCCUCUCUCCAGCCUUGGGCUAUCUGCAUUCUUGAACAGCUCAGGACCCAGAAGGAAAAGAAGAAUGCUGACCCGCUCUGGGGAUGGCCUGAAUGAAGAGAGCGCGAUUCCUGGUGGUGGCGGCCUCGGCCUGAAGCAGCCUGGCCCUACGCUGGAAACAUUGUCUUCCCGCGGCUCGGGAGCGGGAACGCAGCCCCUGGCUGAGUGUGAGAGAACUGCUCAGAGAUGUUAA
This 538-nucleotide long non-coding RNA is filed under the name Ursus maritimus (polar bear). RNAcentral's name for it is "lncRNA (ENSUMAG00000022495.1)". The stretch from base 138 to 259 matches the Rfam family "Pvt1 oncogene conserved region 5". Lineage: Eukaryota; Metazoa; Chordata; Mammalia; Carnivora; Ursidae. The record is from RNAcentral.